Molecule: regulatory RNA element, 142 nt
Rfam family: Ribosomal protein L10 leader
About the family: This family is a putative r-protein leader autoregulatory structure found in B. subtilis and other low-GC Gram-positive bacteria. It is located in the 5' untranslated regions of mRNAs encoding ribosomal proteins L10 and L12 (rplJ-rplL).
Source: Rfam
GUGAAUCAUCCAUUUGUACCGUAGACAGUAGGGGUGCUAAGACACUUAAUCAUCCUACCGAGGACAUCGGAAAUCAGAUUCUUUUAAGAUGAUGACUUUCUGCCUCUAUGUCUACUGACGUAGAGGCAUUUCUUUUGUCGGU